Molecule: ribosomal RNA, 467 nt
Filed under: uncultured bacterium
Lineage: Bacteria
Description: partial 16S ribosomal RNA
Rfam family: Bacterial small subunit ribosomal RNA
Source: RNAcentral
GACGAACGCUGGGGGGGGCUUAACACAAUCAAAUCGGAAGGGAAAGGCCUGGUUUUGUGGGGUGCUUGGGGGGGGAAAGGGGGAAGAAAAAGGUAGUUACCUGCCCUUGGCUUUGGGGUAAAUUCAGGAAAACGGGGGCAAUAACGGGUAAGGGGUUCUGCUGGCAGGGGGGGGGUGGGAAAGUUCGGCGGUUGGGGAUGGACUCGCGGCUUAUCAGCUUGUUGGUGGGGUAGUGGCUUACCAAGGCUUUGACGGGUAGCCGGCCUGAGAGGGUGACCGGCCACAUUGGGACUGAGAUACGGCCCAGACUCCUACGGGAGGCAGCAGUGGGGAAUAUUGCACAAUGGGCGGAAGCCUGAUGCAGCAACGCCGCGUGCGGGAUGACGGCCUUCGGGUUGUAAACCGCUUUCGCCUGUGACGAAGCGUGAGUGACGGUAAUGGGUAAAGAAGCACCGGCUAACUACGUG